RNAcentral lists this ribosomal RNA (857 nucleotides) under Microlaimus cyatholaimoides. RNAcentral's name for it is "SSU rRNA". It matches the Rfam family "Eukaryotic small subunit ribosomal RNA", at positions 95 to 966 of the family's 1831-position model. Lineage: Eukaryota; Metazoa; Nematoda; Chromadorea; Desmodorida; Microlaimidae. The record is from RNAcentral.
AGCUCAUUACAACAGCCAUUGUUUCUUGGAUCUAUUCAUUCUACUUGGAUAACUGUGGUAAUUCUAGAGCUAAUACACGCAAACAAGUUCCGACGCAAGAAGGAAUGCAUUUAUUAGAACUAAAUCAAUCGGGCUUGCCCGCUGUUUGGUGAAUCUGAAUAACUCCGCAGAUCGCAUGGUCUAGCACCGGCGACAUAUCUUUCAAGUGUCUGCCUUAUCAACUUUCGAUGGUAGUUUAUGUGACUACCAUGGUUGUAACGGGUAACGGAGAAUUAGGGUUCGACUCCGGAGAGGGAGCCUGAGAAACGGCUACCACAUCCAAGGAAGGCAGCAGGCGCGCAAAUUACCCACUCUCGGCAUGAGGAGGUAGUGACGAAAAAUAACGAGACAGUUCUCUUUGAGGUCUGUCAUCGGAAUGGGUACAACCCAAACCCUUUAACGAGGAUCUAUUGGAGGGCAAGUCUGGUGCCAGCAGCCGCGGUAAUUCCAGCUCCAAUAGCGUAUAUUAAAGUUGUUGCGGUUAAAAAGCUCGUAGUUGGAUCUCUGGUCUUGUUGGCUGGUCACCCUCAGGGUUGUACUGGUCAGCGGACCUGAACUGCUGGUUUUCUGCUUGUGCUCUUCAUUGGGUGCAUGCAGUGGCUAGCGCGUUUACUUUGAAAAAAUUAGAGUGCUCAAAGCAGGCUAUUGCCUGAAUAGUGGUGCAUGGAAUAAUGGAAUAGGACGUCAGUUCUAUUUGUUGGUUCAGAAUUUGACGUAAUGAUUAAGAGGGACAGAUGGGGGCAUUCGUAUUGCUACGCUAGAGGUGAAAUUCUUGGAUCGUAGCACGACGAACAACUGCGAAAGCAUUGCCAAGAAUG